AUGGAAGGUGGCAGCAUCGGGAGCCUGGGAUGGCAGGACGGUGAGGAGGGGGUGAGAAACGUGACCGUGGACAGGGCGGUGCUAAAGGGCACGACCAACGGCCUGCGGAUCAAGACGUGGGCGAUGCCCAACUCCGGCUUCGUCAAGAACGUCUCCUUCUCGCGGGUCACCAUGAACCGCGUGGCCAACCCCAUCCUCGUCGACCAGAACUACUGCCCCCGCAAGGGCGACUGCCCGGGCAAUAGCUUGAGGGUGCAGAUCAGCGACAUGUCAUACACGGACAUCAAGGGCUCGUCAGCGACGCCCGUGGCGGUGAAGUUCAACUGCAGCGGCACCAACCCCUGCAGCGGGAUCAAGCUCAGGAACAUCAGGCUGAGGUACCGGCACCAGCGGCCAGCGCAGGCCAAGUGCCAAAACGCCGGCGGGUCCGCGUCCGGAGAGGUCACACCGCCGAGCUGCUUCUGA
Molecule: ribosomal RNA, 465 nt
Filed under: Triticum aestivum (bread wheat)
Lineage: Eukaryota; Viridiplantae; Streptophyta; Magnoliopsida; Poales; Poaceae
Description: partial small subunit ribosomal RNA
Source: RNAcentral